RNAcentral lists this non-coding RNA (28 nucleotides) under Drosophila melanogaster (fruit fly). The record is from RNAcentral. Lineage: Eukaryota; Metazoa; Arthropoda; Insecta; Diptera; Drosophilidae.
UACGAGUGCACUUGCGAUUAUUAUGCCA